RNAcentral lists this transfer RNA (78 nucleotides) under Bacteroidota bacterium. RNAcentral's name for it is "tRNA-Pro". It matches the Rfam family "tRNA". Rfam says of the family: Transfer RNA (tRNA) molecules are approximately 80 nucleotides in length. Their secondary structure includes four short double-helical elements and three loops (D, anti-codon, and T loops). Lineage: Bacteria; Pseudomonadati; Bacteroidota. The record is from RNAcentral. RNAcentral also lists the same sequence under 2 other names.
CGGGAUGUGGCGCAGCCCGGCUAGCGCGCCUGCCUUGGGCGCAGGAGGUCGCGAGUUCAAAUCUCGCCAUCCCGACCA